Molecule: ribosomal RNA, 100 nt
Filed under: uncultured bacterium
Lineage: Bacteria
Description: partial 16S ribosomal RNA
Source: RNAcentral
AAGGCCCUAUGGGUUGUAAACUGCUUUUACACCGGAGAAAACCCCCUUUCGUGAAAGGGGCUGAUAGUAUGGUGAGAAUAAGCAUCGGCUAACUUCGUGC